UACAGAGGUCCCAAGCGUUGUUCGGAUUCAUUGGGCGUAAAGGGUGCGUAGGUGGCGCCGUAAGUCGGGUGUGAAAUUUCGGAGCUUAACUCCGAAACCGCAUUCGAUACUGCGGUGCUUGAGGACUGGAGAGGAGACUGGAAUUCAUGGUGUAGCAGUGAAAUGCGUAGAGAUCAUGAGGAAGACCAGUGGCGAAGGCGGGUCUCUGGACAGUUCCUGACACUGAGGCACGAAGGCCAGGGGAGCAAACGGG
This 253-nucleotide ribosomal RNA is filed under the name uncultured bacterium. Its description in RNAcentral is "partial 16S ribosomal RNA". It matches the Rfam family "Bacterial small subunit ribosomal RNA", at positions 524 to 776 of the family's 1533-position model. The record is from RNAcentral.